GAAGGUAACAGAACGUUCUGUUUUAUAUACACGUACCGUGUACUAUUAGUGUAAACGACAAAAAAAAAACAGAAGUGAGUAUGUAGACAUGAGUAACACUAUUUGAUUUAAAGAUUAACAUAUACUUAA
RNAcentral lists this ribosomal RNA (129 nucleotides) under Dunaliella salina. RNAcentral's name for it is "large subunit ribosomal RNA". Lineage: Eukaryota; Viridiplantae; Chlorophyta; Chlorophyceae; Chlamydomonadales; Dunaliellaceae. The record is from RNAcentral.